GUAGGGGGCGAGCGUUGUCCGGAUUUACUGGGCGUAAAGAGCGCGUAGGCGGAGACUUAAGUGUGGCCUGAAAGCCCCCGGCUCAACCGGGGAGGGUGGCUGCAAACUGGGUUUCUAGAGGGGGAUAGAGGAAAGUGGAAUUCCGGGUGUAGCGGUGAAAUGCGUAGAGAUCCGGAGGAACACCAGUGGCGAAGGCGGCUUUCUGGGUCCGCCCUGACGCUGAGGCGCGAAAGCGUGGGGAGCGAACGGGAUUAGAUACCCCGGUAGUCCACGCCGUAAACGAUGGUCACUAGAUGUGUGCGGUAUCGACCCCGCACGUGUCGCAGCUAACGCACUAAGUGACCCGCCUGGGGAGUACGGCCGCAAGGUUG
This 371-nucleotide ribosomal RNA is filed under the name uncultured bacterium. RNAcentral's name for it is "bacterial SSU rRNA". It matches the Rfam family "Bacterial small subunit ribosomal RNA", at positions 527 to 896 of the family's 1533-position model. The record is from RNAcentral.